RNAcentral lists this non-coding RNA (22 nucleotides) under Arabidopsis thaliana (thale cress). Lineage: Eukaryota; Viridiplantae; Streptophyta; Magnoliopsida; Brassicales; Brassicaceae. The record is from RNAcentral.
UCGUGCCAAAUAAUCCGCUUUA